ACCAUCCUUUCCUUGGGGUUGCACUACUGUCUAAUGAGUGCAUAAUGAGGGGCAGUACUGCUCAUGCCUAUACAUCGCAUCUGUGUCCACUGGAACUUCGCUUUACCUUGGUACAAUUUUUGGAAAA
Callithrix jacchus (white-tufted-ear marmoset) is the source of this 127-nucleotide small nuclear RNA. The record is from Ensembl. NCBI's taxonomy places the organism in Eukaryota, Metazoa, Chordata, Mammalia, Primates, Cebidae.